ACCACGCUUUGCAGCACAUACAGUGCUCCUUUCACUGACCAUCAAUGAAAAAGCACUUCUGGAAGUGUGGUGGGGGCUGGAUAAAUGGCCUCAAGGGGCUGCAUGUGGCCUUCAGACUGUAGUUUGGGGAUGCCUGCUUUAAUGUGGGGAAGGAUCAAGAGAGAGGGGAAGACAGUACCAAAUAAAAAGAGUUUGAUCCAACUUUGGCAGAUCCAUGUCUUAUAUUGGUGAAUAAUCCAGGACCAUAAUAUAGAUAGACCACAUGAAAGUGAGAAAAGCUGUUGAUGAGGUCUUUGUUCCUACCUCUCAGGAGAUUUCAGUCAAUGGACAGCAAAAAAGAUGAAAAUGUAGAAAGAAAGGAAAAGGAUCAUGGUUCUGGUCACUGCCUUUUCAAAAGCUGAGAUGUCAUCAUAGAAGAUUCUCAGUAUACCUCUGACUUCACAGAAGUGAAGAAUGUUUCUUGGGCUACAUAUAGAUGAAUGGCACUGUCAAAGAAAGGCUACAGUCUGGACUCAAUCUGUCCUACCUCAGAAGGGAGAAGGAAGGAUGAGUCAUUGUGAUCAUAAGAUAUUUUGCCAGACCACUUUGGUGUAAGGGGUUGCCUAACACAGAGUUUUCCAGAAGAUGUUAAUGAACUCCAUGUUUUCCCCUUACUAUGGAAUUUGGAAAUCCCCUUUCACAAGCAAGUUAGCAUGGUUAUGCCUAAUGUAAGCCCAACACCAUAACCAACCAUAUAAAGCUGAGGUCUAUCUACUCUAAUGCAUCCUUGGCCACUGAGGGGCUUGGGAUCUCACUUUAUUGGCAACUGCUAGCCUUGCUAAUAAAUUGAUCAUGCUCAGAAA
Monodelphis domestica (gray short-tailed opossum) is the source of this 842-nucleotide long non-coding RNA. RefSeq lists it as uncharacterized. Lineage: Eukaryota; Metazoa; Chordata; Mammalia; Didelphimorphia; Didelphidae. The record is from RefSeq and is a predicted model, not a curated record.